This 253-nucleotide ribosomal RNA is filed under the name uncultured bacterium. Its description in RNAcentral is "partial 16S ribosomal RNA". It matches the Rfam family "Bacterial small subunit ribosomal RNA", at positions 524 to 776 of the family's 1533-position model. The record is from RNAcentral.
UACGUAGGUGGCAAGCGUUGUCCGGAUUUAUUGGGUUUAAAGGGUGCGUAGGUGGUCAAUUAAGUCAGCGCUGAAAUAUCCCGGCUUAACCGGGAGGGUGGCAUUGAUACUGAUUGACUUGAGUGGAGUUGAGGUAGGCGGAAUUGACGGUGUAGCGGUGAAAUGCUUAGAUAUCGUCAAGAACACCGAUAGCGAAGGCAGCUUACCAAGCUCAAACUGACACUGAUGCACGAAAGUGUGGGGAUCAAACAGG